GAGAGCAUUCUUACUUUACAGCAUUUUUUCACACCUGCCUAAAACUUUUGCACAGUACUGUGUGUGUGUAUAUAUAUAUAUAUAUAUAUAUAUGCGCGUAUAGUACCUGAAUCUAUCAAGUAACAAUGUAUCACUAACUGAACCCCUAACUCCAGUAAGAGAAUAAAAUCCCUCUCCCUCUCCCCUCAAAAGACUAUUUAAUGUGAAAUAUCACUAGAUGUUUGUUCAGUGGUGCAUAUUAUCAACCAUAAUAGCUGUCUCGCAAUGCUCUGCAAGACAGCUAUUAUUCCUUUUUCUGUGUAUGUAGCUUAGGGCUAAAACAACUUUAGGUCAGACUCCAGGUGAGGGAUCUGAAUACUUACUGGUGCUACAAUCAUUUGUUCAUUAAAUGGUUCAAGAAAAAGCAGUGAUAUAGUGCUGCUUGGGUUGCAUUAGUUACUUUAGUGUUAUAAAGAAAAUCUACAUUGCAGGUAGAAUCAUGCAUUUCACAUGUAUACAUAUACAAAACUAUGGAAAACACGUAGAAGCAACACUAUUUUAGUUUACAGACCAAUGAUUUACAGCAUAUGUGUUUAUCAAAAACUGUCUGUAUAAAAUGAAGAAACUUGAUUUUGUUAUUAGUGCAUUUUUUAUUAUUUGAUAAAUGUACAUAUUGAGUUGCUUAUGUUUUUUUUGUUUGUUUGUUUGUUGUUGUUUAUGCUUUAUAAUUUCACAAAAAAACUAUCCUGUAAAAAUGUUAUGCUUAAAUGGAGCAAUUUGUUUAGGUAUUACACUUGGCAUGAAUCUUUUCAAGUUCUCUAAGAACAAUUGAAACUAAGAAAAUGCAAUAUUUAAACUCCAAUGGUUUGAAAGAAAAAAAGGUUAUUUUUAUAUAAGGCUUUAAGAUAAUUAAAUACUAACAGUCAUUGCCAUUGUAUUUAAGUUAGUUGUAGUGAUAAUGUUUUAUAAAUACAUAUUCAAAAUUAUGUACAGUAUGGCUCUGAACUCAGUACAUCACCUAUAAAUGUUGAUUUUAUGCUUUCUUAGACAGUUUAUGGAUAUAUUCAGCUAGCAGGCAACUCAAAAUUAAAUUAACUUUUUUUGACAUGAAUGUAAAUGGGAAGCUCAGGGUUGAUUUGGAACCUAUUGAAUAAGGCCUUUUUAGGCCUGUGAUUUUUAUUCAUUCUUUCUUUUUUUUUUUUUUUAACAGUACUUCAUGUUGCAAUCCUGAUUUUGAAUUGAUAAGGAUAUACCAAGUAGUUUGCAAAUAAGUUUGAUCACAAUACAUGAUAGCCUAUAGGCAUAUUUCUGGGGAUGAGAUCCGGGGCUCCACCCUGCUUUCCCUGCCAAUCUUCUCCUAUUUCCUAUUUAAUUCUGAAUCUCACAGAGCUUGCUGUCUAGCGUUUUCAGUUUGUUUUCAUCUGUUGUUUUCGAUUUCUAGCAAUCUCUCAGACUCCAUCAAACGUGCUUAAACUUUCUCUUUUUACUAAUGUCUAAACUUCUUUUUCUCUCGUCCUUCAGCUUCUUUCUUUCUUUCUUUCUUUCUUUUUCUUUCUUUCUCGCUGCAGCAGCUGCAAUUUAGCCUGCAACUAUCUAAUCUCCAGCCUUAACAUCUAUUGUGAAGCUUUGUUUGCAGAACCUGUCUAUUCCUCUGCCUGCAAACAACUACAAGCAGGCGCACCUCCCCAACUUUUCUUUAAAGAUUGGUACAUCAACAAGAUUCUGAAAGCUAUUUGUGUAAAGACGCCAUUGCAGCCUCUGCGCCCUCAACGCCCGCCUCCGCAGUUGAUCUGGCAAUCAUCUUGCUUGCAUCAGUUCCCCAUGUGGGUUCAUGGUUUAGCAAUUCACUACUAAGUUCAGCAGCCGAGACAACAAAUCACGAUGGGUAAGGACAUUAAUUUGGUUUCAAUUCCCAGUUCAACGCAGGAACCCCAGCAUUGUUCUAGUUUCGUGCUUUUGUAACGUAUUACGUGAAGCCUACUUUAUCAACUGAAUAUGCAUGCGUCCGCAUCAGAUUAAUAUUGUAAUAAUAAUAAGAAAUACUAUAUUUUAACAGAAGUAAUUUCUGAACUAUGGUUGUUCAAUACUGUUUACAUUUUAUGUCCAAAAGCAAAACAUUUGAAUUAAUCUCACAAACCCUGACUAAUGUAACUAUCGUACUAAAUUCAUCUUCUUUUUCUAUAAUAUUGCCAUGUAAUCCAAGCACACCAUGCUUUGAAACAAAAGGUAAUUGGUAGAUUUAAUAAAUAAAAAAAAGUGUUGCCUUAAUUUUUUAAUUAAAAAAAAACGUGAAUACUUGGCCUGUCUUAUCCAACGCGUAAUGUAGGCUUGAAGUGUGUAUCCUAGCAACGUGCCAAUCUACUGUACUAGCACUAGAAGCAACGCACUCACACUCAAGGUUUUAAUGCAAACUGGCAACAGGAGACUUGGUACUAAUUUGAUGCAUCGAUUCACCAAAAUUUAAUCGAAGCUUGGUAAAAUUUAAGGACAGAUGAUCAAUAAUCAAUGCAUCGAUUUAAUUAUUGCACCCCUAGUAAUCAGGCAGUUUCAUGAGGCCCUCUGAGCUCUGUGCCCCAGUACUGCAAUCUUCCAGCUUCCUGCCCCUGCAUUUUCAUAACUGGAGAGAGUAAGUUCAACUCUCAGAAUUCAUGACAUUUAAAUCAACUGCAGGCGCGUCUCGUGGACCUAUGUUAACUUGCUUAUAUACAUGCUUAACUGUCCUAAAAUAUGUAUUCAAUAUAUAUUUUAAAUUAAUAAUAAAUAUAUAGAUAGUCAGAUGGACAAUGCUCAGCAGGCCAUGUCUCACUUGCCUGUACUGACGAGCUGCCUGUGAUUUCAACAGCCCCUUCUAUCAGGCGUCACUAUCCUAACAUCAGAAAAUAAAUAAUUGAUGGUAAAGAUAUCAAUGUUUCAUUCAAGUCAUACGACAUUCAGUUCCACACCGCCAUCGAGAGCUGGAUCAAUACUUUAUUCUACAUCGUGGAGCUCUCAGUUAGAUACGGGGGUACUGUGUUCUACGAGUACCAUGAAACAUUCUCCACUAAAGCCACCGCCAUCUUAUCAGCAGAUGUCCUCUUUUAACUGCAAUUUCAGGAGUUUGUGAGCCAACGCCUGUGGACAACGCAUGCACAUACAAAGCCCAUUCUACUUUCCUCUGUCCAAAUACAAUCGUGAUACAGCAUAAGAGCAUUUAGGAUAAACAUUCCAGUCACAUGGACUAUUGAUCACAAUAAUGAAAUCUAUUCUACCCAGCAACAAUCUAAAGCCAACAGUUUUAUUCUAAUCAUAACCUCUAGGUGGCAGUAUAACACCACAAUUUCUAUAUUUUAGCUGGUCCUUUCACUGCAAAGGUCAUGUACUUUCAAAUCAGAAUCAGUUUUACUUUGGAAGGUUAAUAUUUCAUUCGAUGUGAGCUUCCAGUCAAGUACGGAAACCAUGUCCUUUUGAUUUAGCAGCAUUUCAGUCAAAGCAGCCUCCUACCUUGUAAUGGACAAUACCCUGAUAUACCGCUACUGAUCAAAUUAAUAGGUUUUGCAGCGGCCUCAAAGCAGUGCAUUAUGCAUUCUACAGCUCUCCCGAAAGCAGCCUCAUCGUUGGCUCCAUCUAAAUCGUCUUAACACUUAAAGACCAACAUUGACAUCCUAUCAAAAUUCUGGUUGGCAGAAAAUUGUGCAACAACCUCCUGCAAUCCCUAGGAGGCACUUCAUGCAGCUUAAAUUUGCUCAUAUCUCUCAAUGAGUUUCUUUUCACUCACUUCAGCAGAUCUCUGCUCUCUACAGCAGGCCACUGCCCACUUCUGACAGCAGUCCACUGCACACUGUUACAGAUCACUGCUUCAGCAGAUCUCUGCUCUCAGGCUCCCACUGCCAUCCACCGUCAUUCUCUUUCUACACAGAUUCGCCGCAAUAAAAUCGCCAGAUUUCAGCACUUUUGUUCCCGCAGCCGCUCCAGCACCUCUCCAAGUUCCGGAACACCAGCACCUAGUGUUCCUGUGAGCUCUCCUCUCUUCAGCCUUCUUCAAUCAGCUAGAAAUGACAUGUCUGCUGCCCUAGCUCCAUCAACAAGAUCAUCCUACUCUACAGGCUGGUCUUCUUUCUCCUCCUGCGUAAAAAAACAAAAACAAAAUCAGUCAGCUCCAUUUAAUCAAGACUGGAUCUUAGCCUUUAUCGUCCACGCACAAGAUAUUCUACACCUCUCCGCUUCUCCAAUCAAGUCUUACAUCUCCAGAAUCCAGUACAUCUCCAGAAACCAGUCCCAUUACCAUCUCAUGUCGGUAUUCUCUCCGAUUCUUCUGGCCAUUCCAGCAAUCCGCCUGACGCUCUGCAAAGCAAAGCAGGCCUUUCUCCUCGGUUCUACACUCCUCACUGCUUUAGAAUCGGAGCAGCCACCUCAGCAGCAAAAGCCAACAUCAAUCAGCAUCUAAUUAAGAGCCUAGGGCGCUGGUCCUUUUCCGCAAUAGAAUCCUACAUACGCACAUCUUUUUCCAAUAUUGCAGCAGCUAACCAAAUAAUUGUUAGCAUGCCCUGAGUGGGGCUACCUGAUCUUCCGGGUCCACCAGAGGUUUUCCCCCCUAAUAGGGCAGGGUUUUUUCCUCUCCACUGUGUGGCAGGUAAACACAUAAUUUCACUCUACCCAAAUCUAAUUCAUCUUGUUUGUGUCGUAUGUUUUUUUUUUUCCUCCUUCUUUCAUAUAUGUUAUGCAUUGGAACAUGAACUAUUGUUUUGUCCCAUGGAUGUGGGGUUCUGCGGGGAGCCGGGUGUCCAACCUUUGGGGGUAAGUGAGGCUCACUUCCCUGACCUCUAUGGCUGCUGCCAUCCACGCCUCCGCUGAGGGGGGGAGGGCGGCUUCUCACCGCAUGAGUCUUAGGGCGGACCCCCCUGGCACACACUCUAUUCUUUAGCAGCUCCUGGUCUAUAUCUUCCCCAAAUUGAGACUGGGCUCUAUUUCCAGCUCCCUCUUCUGUCAUUCCUUUUCCAGGUUCUUCAGCACGAGAGCCUAUUCCUUCUACACUGCUGUUGCUCCGCAGAGCCUGUCGUGGGCCCCCGCUGAUCCAUCUAUCUUAUGUGUUUUCUGGUUCCGGAGGCUGCUGAACAGCCAGCCUUCGAGGUGGCUCACUCUCCUCUGGCCAAGAAGGCUCCCGCCGGUCGGGAACCUCUUUCCUAACCUGUCCCCUGAGGCCACUCCUCAGACUACCUCUCCAAGUAACAACCUUUCACUCCAGCCCUGGCUCUCACCCCGUGAAAUAUAUAGCACAGAAUUAUUUUCUUCAAUUAAGCCUAAAAAGCAGUGAGUGCCUGAGUUUAGAUUACUUUUUUUCUCUUCACUAAACUAGCCUAUACCUGACAAUUUGACCAAUUGAUUUUUUCCCUUUUAUCCAGAGAUUACACUUGCUUUGCAUAUAUUGGCACAAUGCAAGGUUUAGUGACUGUAAAAAGGAGUACAAGAAAUACUUCAGGGAAUGCAAAAAGGUAUUAAUGACUCCUUUUUUCUUUAAGAGAAGAACCUGUAUUCAUCAUGUGCUUUGUUUCAUACUGUAAAUAACUGAAUGGCUUAUGAUUCUUAAUUGUAACCUUUUCAGGUAUUUUUGUACAAAUAAGGGACUGAUAUAUUCUCUUUAUUGUAAUUAGAAUAAAAUAUUAAUACAUUGAUAUUCAUUUAAAACAGUGAUGUUUUAUUGUUUGUCUUUUACACUACAGUAAAUUGACUGACCGGAGGGUUGCUUACACAUGUUAGCCUUACGGUUCAAACAAAAAUGGUAUAAUAACUAUUUUGAGGGGAAAAGGAUAUGUUAUCGGAGAGAAACACUUACAUGAGACCACUAAUGGCAUGCUUGGCAAACUACAUGGUGGACUUACUGUAAAUGUUUCCUUUCUACUUAAAAGAAAAAAUCCUUUUAAAUAUACAGGAGAGUGCAAUAAAUUCAGCUUUGUAAAAUGUAAGCACUCAAAAGUUAUUUGUUAAUAGUUUUGUAAAAUUAAGUUUUAUUUUCCUCUGACAAAAACUGCACUUUAUCAUCUGUUCUAUUGCAGCAGUAAGCAAUAUUAGCAAGGUGUCAAUUUUAGGAUUAUGAUUUAUCAUCCAUGUGAUUUGGGUAAUAAGCUUUUAAUAUAGUAAUGUUUACGAACUUGUGUAUAAAUACAGGUGAAAUGAUCAUAAAUUAUAAGAAAGUAUUAAACCAUCAUACUGUGUUUUUCAAAUGGUAUUUAUCAUUUAUCAUUGCAUUAAAAGGCAAAGGAAUUUA
Acipenser ruthenus (sterlet) is the source of this 6220-nucleotide long non-coding RNA. RefSeq lists it as uncharacterized. The transcript has 2 exons. NCBI's taxonomy places the organism in Eukaryota, Metazoa, Chordata, Actinopteri, Acipenseriformes, Acipenseridae. The record is from RefSeq and is a predicted model, not a curated record.